AGUGAACGCUGGCGGUAGGCCUAACACAUGCAAGUCGAACGGCAGCACAGGAGAGCUUGCUCUCUGGGUGGCGAGUGGCGGACGGGUGAGGAAUACAUCGGAAUCUACUCUGUCGUGGGGGAUAACGUAGGGAAACUUACGCUAAUACCGCAUACGACCUACGGGUGAAAGCAGGGGACCUUCGGGCCUUGCGCGAUUGACUGAGCCGAUGUCGGAUUAGCUAGUUGGCGGGGUAAAGGCCCACCAAGGCGACGAUCCGUAGCUGGUCUGAGAGGAUGAUCAGCCACACCGGAACUGAGACACGGUCCAGACUCCUACGGGAGGCAGCAGUGGGGAAUAUUGGACAAUGGGCGCAAGCCUGAUCCAGCCAUACCGCGUGGGUGAAGAAGGCCUUCGGGUUGUAAAGCCUUUUUGUUGGGAAAGAAAUCCAGCUGGCUAAUACCCGGUUGGGAUGACGGUACCCAAAGAAUAAGCACCGGCUAACUUCGUGCCAGCCGCCGCGGUAA
RNAcentral lists this ribosomal RNA (506 nucleotides) under uncultured bacterium. RNAcentral describes it as "partial 16S ribosomal RNA". It matches the Rfam family "Bacterial small subunit ribosomal RNA", at positions 29 to 523 of the family's 1533-position model. The record is from RNAcentral.